RNAcentral lists this ribosomal RNA (672 nucleotides) under Fusarium oxysporum. Its description in RNAcentral is "SSU rRNA". It matches the Rfam family "Bacterial small subunit ribosomal RNA", at positions 291 to 929 of the family's 1533-position model. Lineage: Eukaryota; Fungi; Ascomycota; Sordariomycetes; Hypocreales; Nectriaceae. The record is from RNAcentral.
GCCUAACGGCUGAACUGGCAACUUGGAGAAGUGGCAAGUCUUCCAGUAUGGGGAGCAAAACAGCUAUGGGUCAAGUCCGAUAUCUUUAGGAGAAGUCUUAUUGUGAGGGCGAGUUAUAUAACACCAUAGGACUGGCCGUCCCAUAUGAAAAGAUUAUAUUAGAAUUGAAUGAAGCUUUGUUUAUAUAUUGAUAAUGACAGUAUAUAUAUCGUGUCUUGACUAAUUGCGUGCCAGCAGUCGCGGUAAUACGUAAGAGACUAGUGUUAUUCAUCUUAAUUAGGUUUAAAGGGUACCCAGACGGUCAAUAUAGCUUAUAAAAUGUUAGUACUUGACUAGAGUUUUAUGUAAGAGGGCAGUACUUGAGGAGGAGAGAUGAAAUUUCGUGAUACCAAAGGGACUCUGUAAAGGCGAAGGCAGCCCUCUAUGUAAAAACUGACGUUGAAGGACGAAGGCACAGAGAACAAACAGGAUUAGAUACCCAAGUAGUCUUUGCAGUAAAUGAUGAAUGCCAUAGGUUAGAUUGAUCAAUUAUAGUCUAGGGUUAGUCUAGCAAACUAAUGCCCUAUGAUAUAAUUCAAAAUAUCUGGUCUAUAAAUGAAAGUGUAAGCAUUUCACCUCAAGAGUAAUGUGGCAACGCAGGAACUGAAAUCACUAGACCGUUUCUGACACCAG